Oryza glaberrima (African rice) is the source of this 201-nucleotide non-coding RNA. The record is from Rfam. NCBI's taxonomy places the organism in Eukaryota, Viridiplantae, Streptophyta, Magnoliopsida, Poales, Poaceae.
UAUAAGGGAUUUUGAUUUUUUGCUUGCAACAUUUGACCACUCGUCUUAUUCAAAAAAUUUUGAAAUUAUUAUUUAUUUUAUUUGUGACUUACUUUAUUAUCUACCGUACUUUAAGCACAAUUUUCGUUUUUUAUAUUUGUAAAAAAAUUUGAAUAAGACGAGUGGUUAAACGUUGUAAUCAAAAACUCAAAAUCCCUUAUA